Non-coding RNA from Glycine soja, 74 nucleotides. The record is from Rfam. Lineage: Eukaryota; Viridiplantae; Streptophyta; Magnoliopsida; Fabales; Fabaceae.
GAUGCAUUAACUCAGUUUAUUAGAGUGUUGUGUUAAUAAUUUGAAAGUCACAAAUUCAAAUCUUAUAUGAAUCA